UGGGGUUUACGGGAGGCAGCAGCAAGCCCUCCUAUCCAACUGGGCCGCAAGUCAGGGAGCAACGUUGUGUGGAGGAUGAUGGUUUUUGGGUUGUAAACUUUUUUUGGGUGGGAUGAUUAUGAUGGUAUUAUUAGAAGUAGCUUUGGUUAAUUUUGUGUUAGUAGUUGCGGUAAGAUAGAGGGGGUAAGUGUUGUUUGGAGUUACUGGGGGUAAAGGGCGGGGAGGCGGUUUGGGGCGUCGGCGCUGAAAGGGCCGCUUAAAGGGGUGAGGCGUGCCGAUACGCGCAGACUCGAGGCGAGCAGAGGGUGGUGGAAUUCAGGGUGGAGCGGUGAAAUGCGUAGAGAUUCGGAGGAACGCGAGUGGGGAAGCUGGCUACUUGGGCUCGUCUUGACGCUGCGGCG
This 401-nucleotide ribosomal RNA is filed under the name uncultured bacterium. RNAcentral's name for it is "bacterial SSU rRNA". It matches the Rfam family "Bacterial small subunit ribosomal RNA", at positions 333 to 753 of the family's 1533-position model. The record is from RNAcentral.